This 429-nucleotide ribosomal RNA is filed under the name Chloroflexota bacterium. RNAcentral describes it as "Chloroflexi bacterium partial 16S ribosomal RNA". It matches the Rfam family "Bacterial small subunit ribosomal RNA", at positions 355 to 776 of the family's 1533-position model. Lineage: Bacteria; Bacillati; Chloroflexota. The record is from RNAcentral.
UGGGGAAUAUUGCACAAUGGGCGCAAGCCUGAUGCAGCCAUGCCGCGUGUAUGAAGAAGGCCUUCGGGUUGUAAAGUACUUUCAGCGGGGAGGAAGGGAGUAAAGUUAAUACCUUUGCUCAUUGACGUUACCCGCAGAAGAAGCACCGGCUAACUCCGUGCCAGCAGCCGCGGUAAUACGGAGGGUGCAAGCGUUAAUCGGAAUUACUGGGCGUAAAGCGCACGCAGGCGGUUUGUUAAGUCAGAUGUGAAAUCCUCGGGCUCAACCUGGGAACUGCAUCUGAUACUGGCAAGCUUGAGUCUCGUAGAGGGGGGUAGAAUUCCAGGUGUGGCGGUGAAAUGCGUCGAGAUCUGGAGGAAUAACGGUGGCGAAAGCGGCCCCCUGGACGAAGACUGACGCUCAGGUGCGAAAGCGUGGGGAGCAAACAGG